RNAcentral lists this long non-coding RNA (527 nucleotides) under Chloebia gouldiae (Gouldian finch). Its description in RNAcentral is "Erythrura gouldiae (Gouldian finch) lncRNA (ENSEGOG00005007166.1)". Lineage: Eukaryota; Metazoa; Chordata; Aves; Passeriformes; Passeridae. The record is from RNAcentral.
AGCCCAGCUCACUCUAUUCCCCAACCACCAUUCUGAAGUACCAGCGAGGGAACUGCUUUGACUUCACUGUGCUGCUGUGCUCGCUGCUGAUCGGGGCUGGCUACGAUGCCUACUGUGUACAUGGAUAUGCCACCCUCGAGAUGUGCUCCCUGGACCAGACUCAGGAGCUGUGCCCACGGCUCAGGAAGCCCCCAGAGGUACCAGAAGAGGAGGAUCCCAACAAAUAUAGAAUUAAGUACCCUUCAGAGCCACAGAGCCAGUUUGAGCUUCAGCAGAAGGCCAAGAAGGAGGAAGAAACUGAGUCCACACAAGAGGAGGAAAGAGAAGAGGAGGUGGUCGUGGAGGUGGAUAAGCCCAAGCGAGACCCUUUGCAUGGCUUGCGGGUGCACGCCUGGGUUCUGGUUCUGUCUGGAAAGAGGAAGGUUCCCGAGACCUUCUUCAUCAACCCGUUCACAGGAAAUCGCCACAGCACCAGGGAUGAGUGCUUCCUUGGGAUUGAGAGCAUCUGGAACCACAGGAACUACUGG